This is a long non-coding RNA of Mesocricetus auratus (golden hamster), 505 nucleotides long. RefSeq lists it as uncharacterized. The record is from RefSeq and is a predicted model, not a curated record. Lineage: Eukaryota; Metazoa; Chordata; Mammalia; Rodentia; Cricetidae. The transcript is spliced from 2 exons.
AGAUAGAUAGAUAGAUAGAUAGAUAGAUAGAUAGAUAGAUAGAUAGAUAGAUAGAUAGAUAGAUAGAAAGAUAAAAAGAAAGAACAUUGAACCUUUGACUAGAUUGAUAACAAAAGAAGAGGAGAUGGUUAAAGAUGACUCGCCUUUCAAACAGAUCUGAGUCAGGAAUAGUUCACAGCUUUUAUGAAGGAUAAGCUGCAGUUUUGUUCUCAGGGAAAUCCUUUCUUGUUUUGUUUUCUCCAGUGAAAAAGAGGUAGGAAGAUGUCCUCACUGGUCACUAGUAGUGUCCAGAGCUAGCAUAACCUCUGCCUGAAAAGAUUCUGUACUUCUGCAGUGAUAUGCUCAUAGCCAAAUUGUAAAUCUUAUUCUUUUGUAAUAUUAAGAUAAAUCUAUUUAUAUUUAUUUAUAUCAGUGAACAUCUUGGUUUCAAAUGUGUAUUAAUAAGAUAUGUAAUAAAAAUCAUUUCCUUUAAAUAGAAAUAAAUGAUCACUAUUGUCUCAUGUAA